AGUGAACGCUGGCGGUAGGCCUAACACAUGCAAGUCGAACGGCAGCACAGUAAGAGCUUGCUCUUACGGGUGGCGAGUGGCGGACGGGUGAGGAAUACAUCGGAAUCUACUUUUUCGUGGGGGAUAACGUAGGGAAACUUACGCUAAUACCGCAUACGACCUACGGGUGAAAGCAGGGGAUCUUCGGACCUUGCGCGAUUGAAUGAGCCGAUGUCGGAUUAGCUAGUUGGCGGGGUAAAGGCCCACCAAGGCGACGAUCCGUAGCUGGUCUGAGAGGAUGAUCAGCCACAUUGGAACUGAGACACGGUCCAGACUCCUACGGGAGGCAGCAGUGGGGAAUAUUGGACAAUGGGCGCAAGCCUGAUCCAGCCAUACCGCGUGGGUGAAGAAGGUCUUCGGGUUGUAAAGCCCUUUUGUUGGGAAAGAAAAGCAGCAGGUUAAUACCCCGCUGUUCUGACGGUACCCAAAGAAUAAGCACCGGCUAACUUCGUG
RNAcentral lists this ribosomal RNA (492 nucleotides) under uncultured bacterium. RNAcentral's name for it is "partial 16S ribosomal RNA". It matches the Rfam family "Bacterial small subunit ribosomal RNA", at positions 29 to 507 of the family's 1533-position model. The record is from RNAcentral.